UACGUAGGUGGCAAGCGUUGUCCGGAUUUAUUGGGCGUAAAGAGCGCGCAGGCGGUGCGCCAAGUCCGAGGUGAAAUCUCCCGGCUCAACUGGGAGGGGUCUUCGGAUACUGGCGGACUCGAGGAGAGCAGAGGUGAGUGGAAUUCUGGGUGUAGUGGUGAAAUGCGUAGAUAUCCAGAGGAACACCAGCGGCGAAGGCGGCUCACUGGGCUCCACCUGACGCUGAGGCGCGAAAGCGUGGGGAGCGAAC
This 250-nucleotide ribosomal RNA is filed under the name uncultured bacterium. Its description in RNAcentral is "partial 16S ribosomal RNA". It matches the Rfam family "Bacterial small subunit ribosomal RNA", at positions 524 to 773 of the family's 1533-position model. The record is from RNAcentral.